GGAACCCGAAUCGCUGGCGACGCGGCGGCCGCAGCUCUCGCGGGAGGAAGAGCGGUGCGUACUCCUCGUGCUCUCCCGGGUAAUCCUCUAGCUUGGAUUUUAGAAUUUUAUUUACUGCUGCUUUACAUUUUCCGUUCUCCCGUUCUUCCCAUGAUUUUUUAGACUUUCCGUUCGUUAUUAAUUGUACUAUAGGUAAAUAAGGCAAUUCGAUGAUGGGACCACGACAAGGUGGACGAUUGGGAGCAAGGGUGCGCAUCGGAUCAGGUAUUGCUUCGGAUUUCAGUUGCUUAUGUUUUGGUCCCUUUUGACCUCUUUCGAGUACUACACAUUAUUCUGAAGCUUCUGAAACUCAAUGACUCUGAACUGAAAGAUGAAUUCAUUUGCCUGUCCAUUUAUCAUAUUCAGAAGUUACAUUGGGAUCCUGGUUACCAAUUCAAUGCGGGGAAAGUUGUAAGCCUUGUCACGGAUGACCGACAUAGUUUGAGUAAAGAUUCUG
Molecule: long non-coding RNA, 496 nt
Filed under: Hordeum vulgare
Lineage: Eukaryota; Viridiplantae; Streptophyta; Magnoliopsida; Poales; Poaceae
Description: long non-coding RNA (HVUL_LNC018983)
Source: RNAcentral